GGGUUGUGAGGUUAAGCGACUAAGCGUACACGGUGGAUGCCCUGGCAGUCAGAGGCGAUGAAGGGCGUGCUAAUCUGCGAUAAGCGCCGGUAAGGUGAUAUGAACCGUUAUAACCGGCGAUACCCGAAUGGGGAAACCCAGUGUGACUCGUCACACUAUCAUUAACUGAAUCCAUAGGUUAAUGAGGCGAACCGGGGGAACUGAAACAUCUAAGUACCCCGAGGAAAAGAAAUCAACCGAGAUUCCCCCAGUAGCGGCGAGCGAACGGGGAGGAGCCCAGAGCCUGAAUCAGCAUGUGUGUUAGUGGAAGCGUCUGGAAAGGCGCGCGAUACAGGGUGACAGCCCCGUACACAAAAGCGCAUGUGCUGUGAGCUCGAUGAGUAGGGCGGGACACGUGGUAUCCUGUCUGAAUAUGGGGGGACCAUCCUCCAAGGCUAAAUACUCCUGACUGACCGAUAGUGAACCAGUACCGUGAGGGAAAGGCGAAAAGAACCCCGGCGAGGGGAGUGAAAAAGAACCUGAAACCGUGUACGUACAAGCAGUGGGAGCCCCACCACCAAAGCAUUUGCUGUACCGCGUUGACGGAGCGAAGCGACGUCAAACCGAUAAAACAGCAGUGUAAAGUGAGCCGCAGGGCGCUUUGCGCGACAGCGCAAAGGCAGGCGGUUU
RNAcentral lists this ribosomal RNA (669 nucleotides) under Salmonella enterica subsp. enterica serovar Enteritidis. RNAcentral describes it as "partial 23S ribosomal RNA". It matches the Rfam family "Bacterial large subunit ribosomal RNA", at positions 1 to 596 of the family's 2925-position model. The record is from RNAcentral. Lineage: Bacteria; Pseudomonadati; Pseudomonadota; Gammaproteobacteria; Enterobacterales; Enterobacteriaceae.